UACGGAGGGUGCAAGCGUUAAUCGGAAUUACUGGGCGUAAAGCGCACGCAGGUGGCUGAGUCAGUCGAUUGUGAAAGCCCUGGGCUUAACCUGGGAAUUGCAGUCGAUACUACUCAGCUAGAGUAUGGGAGAGGGUAGUGGAAUUCCCGGUGUAGCGGUGAAAUGCGUAGAUAUCUGGAGGAACACCGGUGGCGAAGGCGGCAUCCUGGACCGGCAUUGACGCUGAGGUGCGAAAGCGUGGGGAGCAAACAGG
This 253-nucleotide ribosomal RNA is filed under the name uncultured bacterium. RNAcentral describes it as "partial 16S ribosomal RNA". It matches the Rfam family "Bacterial small subunit ribosomal RNA", at positions 524 to 776 of the family's 1533-position model. The record is from RNAcentral.